UAGGGAAUCUUCCGCAAUGGACGCAAGUCUGACGGAGCAACGCCGCGUGAGUGAAGAAGGAUUUCGGUUCGUAAAACUCUGUUGUUAGAGAAGAACAGCGCAUAGAGUAACUGUUAUGCGUGUGACGGUAUCUAACCAGAAAGCCACGGCUAACUACGUGCCAGCAGCCGCGGUAAUACGUAGGUCCCGAGCGUUGUCCGGAUUUAUUGGGCGUAAAGCGAGCGCAGGCGGUUAGUAAAGUCUGAAGUGAAAGGCAGUGGCUCAACCAUUGUAGGCUUUGGAAACUGUUUAACUUGAGUGCAGAAGGGGAGGGUGGAAUUCCAUGUGUAGCGGUGAAAUGCGAAGGUAUAUGGAAGAACACAAGUGGCGAAGGCGACUCUCUGGUCUGUAACUGACGCUGAGGGUCGAAAGCGUGGGUAGCAAACAGG
This 428-nucleotide ribosomal RNA is filed under the name Bacteroidota bacterium. RNAcentral describes it as "Bacteroidetes bacterium partial 16S ribosomal RNA". It matches the Rfam family "Bacterial small subunit ribosomal RNA", at positions 355 to 776 of the family's 1533-position model. The record is from RNAcentral. Lineage: Bacteria; Pseudomonadati; Bacteroidota.